GCUUUUUUUUUUUUCUCUUUUGUGAGACGGAGUCUCGGUCGGUCCCCCAGUCUGGAGUGCAGGGGCAUGAUCUUGGUUCACUGCAACCUCCCCCUCCCAGGUUCAAGUGAUUCUCCCAUCUCAGCCUCCCCAGUAGCUAGGAGUACAGGCACCCGCCACCACGCCUGGCCAAUUUUUGUAUUUUUAGUAGAGAUUAGUAGAGAUGGGGUUUCACCAUGUUGGUCAGGCUGGUCU
RNAcentral lists this long non-coding RNA (234 nucleotides) under Pan troglodytes (chimpanzee). RNAcentral's name for it is "long non-coding RNA NONPTRT012980". Lineage: Eukaryota; Metazoa; Chordata; Mammalia; Primates; Hominidae. The record is from RNAcentral.